CACGGGGGGAACGCGAAGAACCUUACCAGGGCUUGACAUCCCUUGACGACGUAAGAGAUUACGUUUCCCUUCGGGGCAAGGAGACGGGUGGUGCAUGGUUGUCGUCAGCUCGUGUCGUGAGAUGUUGGGUUAAGUCCCGCAACGAGCGCAACCCUUAUCGUUAGUUGCCAGCAUGUUAUGAUGGGCACUCUAGCGAGACUGCCGGUGACAAAUCGGAGGAAGGUGGGGACGACGUCAAAUCAUCAUGCCCCUUAUGUCCUGGGCUACACACGUACUACAAUGGCUAUUACAGAGGGAAGCAAGACCGUAAGGUGGAGCAAACCCCUAAAAAUAGUCCCAGUUCAGAUUGUGGGCUGAAACCCGCCCACAUGAAGUCGGAAUUGCUAGUAAUGGCAGGUCAGCAUACUGCCGUGAAUACGUUCCCGGGUCUUGUACACACGC
This 441-nucleotide ribosomal RNA is filed under the name uncultured soil bacterium. RNAcentral's name for it is "bacterial SSU rRNA". It matches the Rfam family "Bacterial small subunit ribosomal RNA", at positions 950 to 1393 of the family's 1533-position model. The record is from RNAcentral.